This 435-nucleotide ribosomal RNA is filed under the name uncultured bacterium. Its description in RNAcentral is "partial 16S ribosomal RNA". It matches the Rfam family "Bacterial small subunit ribosomal RNA", at positions 29 to 507 of the family's 1533-position model. The record is from RNAcentral.
AGCGAACGCUGGCGGCAGGCUUAACACAUGCAAGUCGAGCGGGCGUAGCAAUACGUCCGCGGCAGACGGGUGAGUAACGCGUGGGAACGUACCUUUUGGUUCGGAACAACACAGGGAAACUUGUGCUAAUACCGGAUAAGCCCUUACGGGGAAAGAUUUAUCGCCGAAAGAUCGGCCCGCGUCUGAUUAGCUAGUUGGUGAGGUAACGGCUCACCAAGGCGACGAUCAGUAGCUGGUCUGAGAGGAUGAUCAGCCACAUUGGGACUGAGACACGGCCCAAACUCCUACGGGAGGCAGCAGUGGGGAAUAUUGGACAAUGGGGGCAACCCUGAUCCAGCCAUGCUGCGUGAGUGAUGAAGGCCCUAGGGUUGUAAAGCUCUUUUGUGCGGGAAGAUAAUGACGGUACCGCAAGAAUAAGCCCCGGCUAACUUCGUG